CUGGUGAAUGAGAGCGAGGGAGGGAGAGAUAGGCAGAAGGAACUUGUUGCCCCUGGUUGGUGUUGUGUAAGACUUGGCUGGCUGUAGCAGAAUAACACUCUUAUUCUCUCAGUGCUUUGAACUCUGGUACCCUACAGCUCCGACCACCCCUCUCUGCAACAGCAAGAACUCACACUAGGUGCCCCUCUCUCGCUCUCUCUCUCUCUCUCUGUCUAUUUCUCUCUCCCCUUUCCUGCUGUGUCGCACUUCUGUUUCUCUUCCCAUAAGUCGUACUUCUCUGCUCCCAUCUCAUUUGUCUUUUACUUUCUCCCACAUCUGCUUGUCUGCUUCAGAUGUGCUGUUGUACCUUUUUGCAUUUGAAGAAAGUUUGUUUUUUCUGUCCUGUUGGACUGAGAACAGGCGUGUACGGCUUCUUCAGCUGAGGGCAUUUCAAGACAAUGAAACAUCUAAACGUGAAGCUGAAAAGAACACCAGCUCAGAGUGUCGUCACAUGUGAUGCUACCGGCUCUUGAGUGUAACUCUCCACCAAACCACUCUACACUGAGUUAAUAGUUAGAUCAAUAGAUCUGGACUGCACAAGAGUCACAUAGCUGGAGGCAAGGAGUUUACAUGCUCAAUGCCACAAGAUUAGUGACCUACAAAUAGCCCAUAAACUUAAAUAUUUCUUACUCAUUUUAUGUCAUAAUAUUACUUUAUUUUAAAUUGAUCAGACACCCCACAAUCUCUUUAUUUCCAGAUUUAAAUUCCAUAUUUUCACUGUAGUCUCAGAUGUUUGGACCACAAUACAUUUUGGCGAUAAUGCUUUU
This 806-nucleotide long non-coding RNA is filed under the name Sinocyclocheilus grahami. RNAcentral describes it as "lncRNA (ENSSGRG00000001123.1)". The record is from RNAcentral. Lineage: Eukaryota; Metazoa; Chordata; Actinopteri; Cypriniformes; Cyprinidae.